RNAcentral lists this ribosomal RNA (584 nucleotides) under Pseudomonas aeruginosa. RNAcentral describes it as "bacterial SSU rRNA". It matches the Rfam family "Bacterial small subunit ribosomal RNA", at positions 199 to 778 of the family's 1533-position model. The record is from RNAcentral. Lineage: Bacteria; Pseudomonadati; Pseudomonadota; Gammaproteobacteria; Pseudomonadales; Pseudomonadaceae.
ACCUUCGGGCCUCAUGCCAUCAGAUGUGCCCAGAUGGGAUUAGCUAGUAGGUGGGGUAACGGCUCACCUAGGCGACGAUCCCUAGCUGGUCUGAGAGGAUGACCAGCCACACUGGAACUGAGACACGGUCCAGACUCCUACGGGAGGCAGCAGUGGGGAAUAUUGCACAAUGGGCGCAAGCCUGAUGCAGCCAUGCCGCGUGUGUGAAGAAGGCCUUCGGGUUGUAAAGCACUUUCAGCGGGGAGGAAGGCGGUGAGGUUAAUAACCUCAUCGAUUGACGUUACCCGCAGAAGAAGCACCGGCUAACUCCGUGCCAGCAGCCGCGGUAAUACGGAGGGUGCAAGCGUUAAUCGGAAUUACUGGGCGUAAAGCGCACGCAGGCGGUCUGUCAAGUCGGAUGUGAAAUCCCCGGGCUCAACCUGGGAACUGCAUUCGAAACUGGCAGGCUAGAGUCUUGUAGAGGGGGGUAGAAUUCCAGGUGUAGCGGUGAAAUGCGUAGAGAUCUGGAGGAAUACCGGUGGCGAAGGCGGCCCCCUGGACAAAGACUGACGCUCAGGUGCGAAAGCGUGGGGAGCAAACAGGAU